RNAcentral lists this ribosomal RNA (468 nucleotides) under uncultured bacterium. Its description in RNAcentral is "partial 16S ribosomal RNA". It matches the Rfam family "Bacterial small subunit ribosomal RNA", at positions 28 to 507 of the family's 1533-position model. The record is from RNAcentral.
GACGAACGCUGGCGGCGUGCUUAACACAUGCAAGUCGAACGGAAAGGCCCUGCUUUUGUGGGGUGCUAGAGUGGCGAACGGGUGAGUAACACGUGAGUAACCUGCCCUUGACUUUGGGAUAACUUCAGGAAACUGGGGCUAAUACCGGAUAGGAGCUCCUGCUGCAUGGUGGGGGUUGGAAAGUUUCGGCGGUUGGGGAUGGACUCGCGGCUUAUCAGCUUGUUGGUGGGGUAGUGGCUUACCAAGGCAUUGACGGGUAGCCGGCCUGAGAGGGUGACCGGCCACAUUGGGACUGCGAUACGGCCCAGACUCCUACGGGAGGCAGCAGUGGGGAAUAUUGCACAAUGGGCGGAAGCCUGAUGCAGCAACGCCGCGUGCGGGAUGACGGCCUUCGUGUUGUAAACCGCUUUCGCCUGUGACGAAGCGUGAGUGACGGUAAUGGGUAAAGAAGCACCGGCUAACUACGUG